This 403-nucleotide ribosomal RNA is filed under the name bacterium. Its description in RNAcentral is "partial 16S ribosomal RNA". It matches the Rfam family "Bacterial small subunit ribosomal RNA", at positions 355 to 776 of the family's 1533-position model. The record is from RNAcentral.
UGGGGAAUAUUGCACAAUGGGGGAAACCCUGAUGCAGCGACGCCGCGUGAACGAAGAAGGUAUUCGUAUCGUAAAGUUCUGUCCUAUGGGAAGAUAAUGACAGUACCAUAGAAGAAAGCUCCGGCUAAAUACGUGCCAGCAGCCGCGGUAAUACGUAUGGAGCGAGCGUUGUCCGGAAUUAUUGGGCGUAAAGGGUACGCAGGCGGUUUAAUAAGUCGAAUGUUAAAGAUCGGGGCUCAACCCCGUAAAGCAUUGGAAACUGAUAAACUUGAGUAGUGGAGAGGAAAGUGGAAUUCCUAGUGGAGUGGUGAAAUACGUAGAUAUUAGGAGGAAUACCAGUAGCGAAGGCGACUUUCUGGACACAAACUGACGCGGAGGUACGAAAGCGUGGGGAGCAAACAGG